This 129-nucleotide small RNA is filed under the name Theobroma cacao (cacao). RNAcentral's name for it is "sRNA Tc05v2_g009770". The record is from RNAcentral. Lineage: Eukaryota; Viridiplantae; Streptophyta; Magnoliopsida; Malvales; Malvaceae.
UUGAUUUUCAAGGAAUCAAGCCAUUAAAGGUGGUGAGCAUUCUGGCAAGAGUAAAGAGGUAGUAUCCGAGGAUCAAGAAUCAGAGUAUCUCGAAUUCGAUUCCCAUUACAGCUCAGGAUAGUCGGUAGA